GAUGAAGAACGCAGCGAAAUGCGAUACUUGGUGUGAAUUGCAGAAUCCCAUGAACCAUCGAGUCUUUGAACGCAAGUUGCGCCCGAAGCCAUUAGGCCGAGGGCACGCCUGCCUGGGCGUCACACGUCGUUGCCCCCCCAUCUACUCCUUCGGGAUUGCGGGGGGCGGAUGAUGGCCUCCCGUGCGCCUCGUCGCGCGGUUGGCAUAAAUGCCAAGUCCUCGGCGACGCACGCCACGACAAUCGGUGGUUGCGAAACCUCGGUUGCCCGUCGUGUGCGGUCGUCGCGCAUCGAGGGCUCGAAAAAAUUGCCGGGCUCCGGCUCGGCUUUCAACGCGACCCCAGGUCAGGCGGGGUUACCCGCUGAAUUUAAGCAUAUCAAUAAGCGGAGGA
RNAcentral lists this unclassified non-coding RNA (391 nucleotides) under soil metagenome. Its description in RNAcentral is "partial contains 5.8S ribosomal RNA, internal transcribed spacer 2, and large subunit ribosomal RNA". The stretch from base 1 to 122 matches the Rfam family "5.8S ribosomal RNA", at positions 35 to 154 of the family's 154-position model. The record is from RNAcentral.